RNAcentral lists this ribosomal RNA (450 nucleotides) under uncultured bacterium. Its description in RNAcentral is "bacterial SSU rRNA". It matches the Rfam family "Bacterial small subunit ribosomal RNA", at positions 354 to 796 of the family's 1533-position model. The record is from RNAcentral.
GUGGGGAAUAUUGGACAAUGGGCGCAAGCCUGAUCCAGCAAUGCCGCGUGGGUGAAGAAGGCCUUCGGGUUGUAAAGCCCUUUUGUACGGAAAGAAAUCCUGGUGGUUAAUACCCGCCGGGGAUGACGGUACCGUAAGAAUAAGCACCGGCUAACUUCGUGCCAGCAGCCGCGGUAAUACGAAGGGUGCAAGCGUUAAUCGGAAUUACUGGGCGUAAAGCGUGCGUAGGUGGUUUCUUAAGUCUGUCGUGAAAGCCCUGGGCUCAACCUGGGAAUGGCGAUGGAUACUGGGAGGCUAGAGUGCGGUAGAGGAUGGCGGAAUUCCCGGUGUAGCGGUGAAAUGCGUAGAGAUCGGGAGGAACAUCUGUGGCGAAGGCGGCCAUCUGGACCAGAACUGACACUGAGGCACGAAAGCGUGGGGAGCAAACAGGAUUAGAUACCCGUGUAGUCC